CCAGGAGUUCUUAACUCUCCACCCUCGUGUGUACCUCAGAUACAUAACCUUGGUUGCUUCGGCGGCGCGCCGGCCUCUAGCGCCGGCCGCCGCCGGGGGGACUCACAUCAAAACCCUUGCGAAACCGGAGCGUCUGAGUGAUAAACAAAUAAGUUA
Molecule: unclassified non-coding RNA, 156 nt
Filed under: uncultured fungus
Lineage: Eukaryota; Fungi
Description: sequence contains ITS1
Source: RNAcentral